RNAcentral lists this ribosomal RNA (253 nucleotides) under uncultured bacterium. RNAcentral describes it as "partial 16S ribosomal RNA". It matches the Rfam family "Bacterial small subunit ribosomal RNA", at positions 524 to 776 of the family's 1533-position model. The record is from RNAcentral.
UACGUAGGGGGCAAGCGUUGUCCGGAAUCAUUGGGCGUAAAGAGCGUGUAGGCGGUCCGGUCAGUCGGUUGUGAAAGUCAAGGGCUCAACCCUUGAAUGCCGGCCGAUACUGCCGGGCUAGAGUCCGGAAGAGGUGAGUGGAAUUCCUGGUGUAGCGGUGAAAUGCGCAGAUAUCAGGAGGAACACCGAUGGCGAAGGCAGCUCACUGGGACGGUACUGACGCUGAGACGCGAAAGCGUAGGGAGCAAACAGG